AGUGAAGAUGCGCGCGAUGCAGCGCUUCUUCGAGGAAGGCGACAAGGUCAAGAUCACCCUGCGCUAUCGCGGCCGCGAAAUGGCGCAUCAGGAAAUCGGCACCAAGCUCCUGGACAAGGUCAAGGCCGACGUGGCCGAAUACGCCAAGGUCGAGCAGGACGCCCGUUUUGAAGGCCGUCAGGUGGUGAUGGUGCUGGCGCCGCGCUGAUUGAAAAUCAGCCGUUCACGUUUGUGAAAAUUGCGCGUUUGUGAAUAUUGAAUACGGCCCGCCAGGCGAUCUGGCGGGCCUUUUUCUUUACGUUUUUUUUUGGCGAAUCGUGCGGAUCCGGA
RNAcentral lists this unclassified non-coding RNA (330 nucleotides) under Bradyrhizobium erythrophlei. Its description in RNAcentral is "Long range pseudoknot". Lineage: Bacteria; Pseudomonadati; Pseudomonadota; Alphaproteobacteria; Hyphomicrobiales; Nitrobacteraceae. The record is from RNAcentral.